GCCCACCACCCUCUAGUCUGCAGCUCCGCUGUGUGCAGAACUGCAGACUGUUAAUUAGUUGUCCGCAAACUCUGGCCCAUCAGAGUGUUGCCGUGGGUUACCAAGGCAACACUCUGAACAAGUGCCAGAGUUCACAAGACAACUAACUCAUAGUCUACAACCCUGACCCCCCAGGGAAUCAAUUAUUGCCCCCUCACUACCUG
Molecule: non-coding RNA, 203 nt
Organism: Pelobates cultripes (western spadefoot toad)
Lineage: Eukaryota; Metazoa; Chordata; Amphibia; Anura; Pelobatidae
Source: the annotation of a GenBank genome assembly